GUCUUCAUACGGAAUGGGCUCUGGCUUUUUGUUUUGUCUAAUAUCAUCUGGCUUGGCCCGUUUUUUAUCAGGUUUCUUUGUUUUUUGCGGUUUAUCUAAUUUCUUUGGAGUAACUUUGGAUAUUGUUGAAGCCGAGGAAGA
Caenorhabditis elegans is the source of this 141-nucleotide non-coding RNA. NCBI's taxonomy places the organism in Eukaryota, Metazoa, Nematoda, Chromadorea, Rhabditida, Rhabditidae. The record is from Ensembl.